UGGGGAAUAUUGCACAAUGGAGGGAACUCUGAUGCAGCGACGCCGCGUGAACGAAGAAGGCUUUCGAGUCGUAAAGUUCUUUUAUAUGGGAAGAUAAUGACGGUGCCAUAAGAAAAAGCCCCGGCUAACUACGUGCCAGCAGCCGCGGUAAUACGUAGGGGGCUAGCGUUGUCCGGAAUCACUGGGCGUAAAGGGUUCGCAGGCGGAAAUGCAAGUCAGGUGUAAAAGGCAGUAGCUUAACUACUGUAAGCAUUUGAAACUGCAUAUCUUGAGAAGAGUAGAGGUAAGUGGAAUUUUUAGUGUAGCGGUGAAAUGCGUAGAUAUUAAAAAGAAUACCGGUGGCGAAGGCGACUUACUGGGCUCAUUCUGACGCUGAGGAACGAAAGCGUGGGUAGCAAACAGG
RNAcentral lists this ribosomal RNA (403 nucleotides) under Fusobacteriota bacterium. RNAcentral's name for it is "Fusobacteria bacterium partial 16S ribosomal RNA". It matches the Rfam family "Bacterial small subunit ribosomal RNA", at positions 355 to 776 of the family's 1533-position model. The record is from RNAcentral. Lineage: Bacteria; Fusobacteriati; Fusobacteriota.